UACGUAGGGGGCUAGCGUUGUCCGGAAUCAUUGGGCGUAAAGAGCGUGUAGGCGGUCCGGUAAGUCCGCUGUGAAAGUCGGGGGCUCAACCCUCGAAUGCCGGUGGAUACUGUCGGGCUAGAGUGCGGAAGAGGCGAGUGGAAUUCCUGGUGUAGCGGUGAAAUGCGCAGAUAUCAGGAGGAACACCGAUGGCGAAGGCAGGUCUCUGGGCUGACACUGACGCUCAUGCACGAAAGCGUGGGGAGCAAACAGG
This 253-nucleotide ribosomal RNA is filed under the name uncultured bacterium. RNAcentral's name for it is "partial 16S ribosomal RNA". It matches the Rfam family "Bacterial small subunit ribosomal RNA", at positions 524 to 776 of the family's 1533-position model. The record is from RNAcentral.